Eptesicus fuscus (big brown bat) is the source of this 593-nucleotide long non-coding RNA. RefSeq lists it as uncharacterized. The transcript is spliced from 3 exons. The record is from RefSeq and is a predicted model, not a curated record. Lineage: Eukaryota; Metazoa; Chordata; Mammalia; Chiroptera; Vespertilionidae.
CCCAGGCAGCAGGGCCCGGCUUCCUGUCUCAGAGAAAGAAGCUGAGGCUCGGAGAGCUGACUGCCUGGCCCCGGAUCACCCAGCCCGUGCCUCUGCUGCCCUGGAUGGCAGGGCCUGGGCCUCGGGAAGCUGAAGCCGCUUGGAUAUACGGAAUCCGCAAAGCCCAAAGCAGCCUCUGCGUCCUGCUGCGGCGCCUCUGGGCCGCCAGAGCUGGAAGGGACAGCGGCCGUCUGAUGACACCUCUGCGGGGAGCCCUCCUCACGCCCUCCCCCUCCCGCACAGAUGCAGGCUCCAAAAAGCCUAAACUCUGCGCAGAGCCGGGACCACUGCAGUCAACACCACCUAAUUGCUAGCUGACAGCAACUUGGAAUGUUAAGUCCCAUCGAUUUCUUCCUGCCCGCUGGUCCGCAGGGCGGGAGCUUUCAUCUCGGGCCAGGAGGGACAUGUUAGCGCCCAUAAUUACACGUUUUAAGACUUGAAGAAUUCCCCUCGCCCCAGCCUACCUCCUAUGGCCUUUCCUGGCCUCCCCCAAAGCAGAAUUUUAUCUGGAGUUUCAGUAAAGUGGACAAUAACGAUGAUGAAAACGAUUUUAU